UAUAUAAACCCCUUACUGCGAAAAUUUCUGCAGCAGUAGCGUAAGCAGUCGUGUUGAAAGUAAAAACUAAAAUGUUGAAGAAAAUUCUUUACUUGUUUGCGCUGAUUAGUGUAAUUGGCCUCAUCAGCGAAUUGCCAAGCGCCAAUGCCAAUCCUCCACCAGUUGAUAUUAUACGAGUUGGAUUGGAUUAUAUAUAUACACAAUAGUCAACACUAUUGCUUAUUUUCCUGGAAAGUCUUAUGAAAAACUUAUAAUUCAAAUUUCAAAAGCAAAUUGUAAAUGCAACUAUUUUCUUCAAAUAUAUAAUAUUCAUGUCAGCAUAA
Long non-coding RNA from Anastrepha obliqua, 323 nucleotides. RefSeq lists it as uncharacterized. The record is from RefSeq and is a predicted model, not a curated record. The transcript is spliced from 2 exons. NCBI's taxonomy places the organism in Eukaryota, Metazoa, Arthropoda, Insecta, Diptera, Tephritidae.